CUAGUUGGUGAGGUAACGGCUCACCAAGGCUUCGAUGGGUAACUGGUCUGAGAGGACGGCCAGCCACAUUGGGACUGAGAUACGGCCCAGACUCCUACGGGAGGCAGCAGUGGGGAAUCUUGGCCAAUGGACGAAAGUCUGAGCCAGCGACACCGCGUGGGGGAUGACGGCCUUCGGGUUGUAAACCCCUUUUCUGGGGAAAGAAUAAGGACGGGAGGAAAUGCCCGCCCGAUGACGGUACUCCAGGAAUAAGCAUCGGCUAACUCUGUGCCAGCAGCCGCGGUAAGACAGAGGAUGCGAGCGUUAUCCGGAAUUACUGGGCGUAAAGGGCGUCUAGGCGGUUCGGUAAGUCGUUUGUGAAAUCCCUUGGCUCAACCGAGGAGAGUCUUGCGAUACUGCCGGGCUUGGGUGUAGGAGAGGAGGGUGGAACUCACAGAGUAGCGGUGGAAUGCGUAGAUACUGUGAGGUACCCCGAUGGCGAAGGCAACCCUCUGGCCUACUACCGACGCUGAAGCGCGAAAGCGUGGGGAGCAAAGGGGAUUAGAUACCCCCGUAGUCCACGCCCUAAACAAUGUUCACUUGGUGUCGGCCGCUUAUACUGGUCGGUGCCGAAGCUAACGCGUUAAGUGAACCGCCUGAGGAGUACGGCCGCAAGGCUAAAACUCAAGAGAAUUGACGGGUCCCUGCACAAGCGGUGGAGCACGUGGUUUAAUUCGACGAUAAACGAAGAACCUCACCCAGGCUUGACAUACUAGUGGUAGAAACCUGAAAGGGGGCCGACCCUGCCUUCGGGUAGGGAGCUAGUACAGGUGAUGCAUGGCUGUCGUCAGCUCGUGUCGUGGGAUGUUGGGUUCAGUCCCGAAACGAGCGCAACCCUUGUCGUUAGUUGCCAGCGGGUAAUGCCGGGGACUCUAACGAGACUGCUGGUGAAUAGCCGGAGGAAGGCGGGGAUGACGUCAAGUCAUCAUGUCCCUUAUGCCUGGGGCGACACACAUGCUACAAUGGGGGGUACAAAGGGUCGCAAUCCCGUAAGGGGGAGCCAAUCCAUAAAAACCCCUCUCAGUUCGGAUUGAGGUCUGCAACACGACCUCAUGAAGCCGGAAUCGCUAGUAAUCGCGGGUCAGCCAUACCGCGGUGAAUAUGUACUCAGGGAUUGUACACACCGCCCGUCACACCAACCGAGUGGGGGGUACCUGAAGUCGCUCUUCUAAGGGCGCCUAGGGUAACUUCCGCAAGAGGGGUGAAGUCGUAACAAGGUA
Molecule: ribosomal RNA, 1259 nt
Filed under: metagenome
Description: bacterial SSU rRNA
Rfam family: Bacterial small subunit ribosomal RNA
Source: RNAcentral